CAGAGAAAGUAGUUCUGUUUUAGCAACCCAACAAGAGAACAAAAAGAUUGCGGAAAGACGGUUAGCAUCAGAGAGCCGGGCCCAGAAACCUGGCCCUCUAUCUGUGGCUGUGUGACCUGGGGACGAGCCUGAUCCUUCGCCUGAGCUGUCUCCCUGUGAACAGAGACAGCGACAGCCCCUCCCUCUGGGGGUCCAGGAGCGAUGAAACAAUGUAUACAGAGCACUCGGCCAUAGUGCCUGACGCACGGCGCAGAGUCAGGACACUCCCACCGGUAAGGGCAGUGGAGGAAGUGGCAGCAGCGAUAAUUCGGCGGGAACCUGGCUUGGAAGGAAGGAAGGAGGAAACCUCCUUUCCCACUGCAUUCAGAGCGAAGGGCAGAUGUGUUGGUCAAAUGGUAUGAGUGGCUAAAAAACUCCAUACCGGACAUCUGCUACAGCAAAGCCGAGAGCCACCAUCCAUGAUGCAGACCGGAAGUCAGGAUCCAGAGCUGUCCCAACGGAGCGACCUGCCCACAGAGUGCCAGCACUCGGAAGAACAAAUUACUUGUGACACAAAGGCCACGGGCGGCAUGGCUGAGAGCCGCCAGUGACAGUGACACCAAAGAGCACGGCCUGCCGUCGGCACCUCCCAUAAUGCCCCCUUCACCCCCACCCUGUGCAGGAGGCAUGGCCGACCCCCUGGUGACAAGUAUAGAAACAGGCUUGUAGACUUACUAGGACACCCUGCCGGUGAGUAGCGGAGCUAGAACCCCACCCAGGGUGCUGUCAGAGCCCGCGGCAGAGGAGGAGGACGUAACUACAGUGGUGGCGGCGGGGGUCAGGGGUCAUAGGAACAAUACUGAGAAUAAGAGGAAACACCUCCAGGGCUCACCUGCACCAGGCACCACUCUAAGAGUGCUACGCCUAUCACCUCAUUCGUUCCUCCCAUGAAAACUCUGAUCUUCAUUUCACAGGGAGGAAACCGAGACAGAGAUGUUAAGUGACUUGCCCAAGGUCACACAGCUGGAAAGUGGCAGAGGCCAGAUCUGAAUUCAGAACCCAACCUUUUGGCCAUCAUACAUGCAGCCUCUGCGCUGCCCUAAAGCUUUAUUUGAACAUAAGAUGUACAUUGGCAUGGAGGUCCUCAUGGUUGGUUUUAGCCAAAGGACAGACUUCUCAGGAGAGGGUCCCAUGUCUUCCAACUUUUCUGGCACAGAAACUUUAAAUCAGUGAAAUACAAUGAUUUCCCUCAUUUGUGGAGUAUAACAAUGAACCAAAACUGAAGGAACAAAAUAGCAGCAGACUCACAGACUCCA
Manis javanica (Malayan pangolin) is the source of this 1295-nucleotide non-coding RNA. The record is from RefSeq and is a predicted model, not a curated record. Lineage: Eukaryota; Metazoa; Chordata; Mammalia; Pholidota; Manidae.